This 465-nucleotide ribosomal RNA is filed under the name uncultured bacterium. RNAcentral's name for it is "bacterial SSU rRNA". It matches the Rfam family "Bacterial small subunit ribosomal RNA", at positions 338 to 795 of the family's 1533-position model. The record is from RNAcentral.
CCUACGGGUUGCAGCAGUGGGGAAUAUUGCACAAUGGGCGCAAGUCUGAUGCAGCCACGCCGCGUGUAUGAAGAAGGCCUUCGGGCUGUAAACUACUUUCAGCGGGGAGGAAGGCGAUAAGGUUAAUAACCUUGUCGAUUGACGCUACCCGCAGAAGAAGCACCGGCUAACUCCGUGCCAGCAGCCGCGGUAAUACGGAGGGUGCAAGCGUUAAUCGGAAUUACUGGGCGUAAAGCGCACGCAGGCGGUCUGUCAAGUCGGAUGUGAAAUCCCCGGGCUCAACCUGGGAACUGCAUUCGGAACUGGCAGGCUAGAGUCUUGUAGAGGGGGGUAGAAUUCCAGGUGUAGCGGUGAAAUGCGUAGAGAUCUGGAGGAAUACCGGUGGCGAGGGCGGCCCCCUGGACAAAGACUGACGCUCAGGUGCGAAAGCGUGGGGAGCAAACAGGAUUAGAUACCCUUGUAGUC